CCUACCCUAAAGACGAGGAUAACCAUUGGAAACAGUGGCUAAGACUGGAUAGGAAGAUAAAAGGCAUCUUUUAUCUUUUAAAAGACCUAGUAAUAGGUAUGCUUUAGGAGGGGCUUGCGCCAUAUUAGUUAGUUGGUAGGGUAAUGGCCUACCAAGACGAUGAUGUGUAGCUGGACUGAGAGGUUGAACAGCCACAUUGGGACUGAGACACGGCCCAAACUCCUACGGGAGGCAGCAGUAGGGAAUUUUCGGCAAUGGAGGAAACUCUGACCGAGCAACGCCGCGUGAAUGACGAAGUACUUCGGUAUGUAAAGUUCUUUUAUCAAGGAAGAAAAGCAAAUGGCGAACCAUUUGUUUGCCGGUACUUGAUGAAUAAGCCCCGGCUAAUUAUGUGCCAGCAGCCGCGGUAAGACAUAAGGGGCAAGUGUUAUCCGGAAUUAUUGGGCGUAAAGGGUGCGUAGGCGGUCUAGUAAGUCAGUGGUGUAAUGGCAACGCUUAACGUUGUCCGGCUAUUGAAACUGCUAAACUUGAGUUAGAUAGAGGCGAGUGGAAUUCCAUGUGUAGCGGUAAAAUGCGUAAAUAUAUGGAGGAACACCAGAGGCGUAGGCGGCUCGCUGGGUCUUAACUGACGCUGAGGCACGAAAGCGUGGGGAGCAAACAGGAUUAGAUACCCUGGUAGUCCACGCCGUAAACGAUGAGUACUAAGUGUCGGGUUAAACCGGUACUGAAGUUAACACAUUAAGUACUCCGCCUGAGUAGUACGUACGCAAGUAUGAAACUUAAAGGAAUUGACGGGACUCCGCACAAGCGGUGGAUCAUGUUGUUUAAUUCGAAGAUACCCGAAAAACCUUACCAGGUCUUGACAUGUUUUUGCAAAAUGAUAGUAAUAUCGUGGAGGUUACCAGAAACACAGGUGGUGCAUGGUUGUCGUCAGCUCGUGUCGUGAGAUGUUAGGUUAAGUCCUAAAACGAGCGAAACCCUUAUCGUUAGUUGCCAGCACGUUAUGGUGGGGACUUUAACGAGACUGCCAAUGAUAAAUUGGAGGAAGGUGAGGAUCACGUCAAAUCAGCAUGCCCCUUAUGACCUGGGCUACAAACGUGAUACAAUGGCUGUUACAAAGGGUAGCUGAAACGCAAGUUCUUGGCCAAUCCCCAAAAACAGUCCCAGUCCGGAUUGAAGUCUGCAACUCGACUUCAUGAAGUUGGAAUCGCUAGUAAUCGCGAAUCAGCAUGUCGCGGUGAAUACGUUCUCGGGGUUUGUACACACCGCCCGUCAAACCACGAAAGUUGGCAAUACCCCAAA
This 1302-nucleotide ribosomal RNA is filed under the name 'Dendrocalamus asper' phytoplasma. Its description in RNAcentral is "bacterial SSU rRNA". It matches the Rfam family "Bacterial small subunit ribosomal RNA", at positions 125 to 1426 of the family's 1533-position model. The record is from RNAcentral. Lineage: Bacteria; Bacillati; Mycoplasmatota; Mollicutes; Acholeplasmatales; Acholeplasmataceae.